Callithrix jacchus (white-tufted-ear marmoset) is the source of this 1284-nucleotide non-coding RNA. Lineage: Eukaryota; Metazoa; Chordata; Mammalia; Primates; Cebidae. The record is from RefSeq and is a predicted model, not a curated record.
CUUGAUGGUACUACUGAAAAGUUUCCUCCUUAUUUUUAAGCUUUUACCAAGUCUCUGCAGUGUGCAGGAGUUCCAACAGAACAAUGAUGAUCUACCAUGAAACAACCAGGGAAAGGAAAAAGGCAAGGUUUAAAAAGUUCUCAAGUGGCAAGGAUAAUCCAUCAUAUUUGACCUAAGUCUUCAAAUUGCUAUUAGUCUAAUUCUAUAGAAAUACAAAUGGAAGAGUUUUUCUAAACAAGCAGAGUCGAUCCCAUUUUAACCACUCCAUCACUGACUGCUGGCAACUUCUGCAGCCACAUUAUCCUUCAGUGACCAGCAACAGUGAUCAGUCAACAGCCAUCAACAUCGAGGGAAGAACCUUCACCAUCAAAAAGAUUGCAACUUUCUGAAGGUCUUCAGACUCUCAGGAGCAGGUUCCAUGCUAUACCUGGGAGGAGAAAUGAAGCAUCACAGAUUGGAUCUUGAUACAGACCAGAUACUUCUGGAAUUCUCUUUCCAAUGAAAGAUCACUUUAAGCGGGUCAUAAGACCUUCAUGCGAAAGAUGUCCACCCUAUACCUGCAGGAAAAGAGCAUCUUUAUCUUAGAAAAUGAAGGGACACGGUGUGGAAUCUGAACAAACAGACCUUGCUGGUAGUGAUUCUGACACCAGUGGACCUCCAGGCGCGGCUCCUCCUACCACGAGAGGACUCUUGACUUUUCUAAUAAAGAAGGUUCUGGCCAAUCAGUCCAAGAAAGGCUCUGAUUCUCUGCCAGGCUGUUGUCUCUGCCGAAAUGCUCCUCAGGGUGGAAGGUGCUGCUGCGGCAGGACAUGUCUCCUGAGUUUUCAGGUCUGUGGUGACCCUGAGCACCAACUGAGUAACACAGAGUCACAUACUAUGUGGGGGCCUAAGGAACAAAUGGUAGAAGAGGCCUUAAGGGACGAGGAGAGAAAUCCAAGGAAGACCUGACUAUGGACUACGAUGGAGGUAGGGUAAUCAUGUGGGCUGUGCCUUGUAGCAGCCUGGGACAGGGAUGACAGCUCGGUGAGGGCUGAGAAAAGAGCAUGUGGUGGGGGUGCAGGUCGCUCUUACCAGGAUCAACUCCUUUGUGCUUUAGUUUAAUAUAGAAAUUACGUAGAGCUCCUGGUUUAAAGGGUGCUAGAGAUGCCUUAGUAUCUGUAGUUGUUAAUAAUAAUACAGCAUUGAGAAAAGAAAGGAUAACUCUUCUUGGUAUGUAUUAAAGGAGUUUUAUAUAGAUGGUAAAUGCAUGCAAAAACAGUAUGGUACUAUACUAUUUCUCCCUUA